RNAcentral lists this ribosomal RNA (467 nucleotides) under uncultured bacterium. RNAcentral's name for it is "partial 16S ribosomal RNA". It matches the Rfam family "Bacterial small subunit ribosomal RNA", at positions 28 to 506 of the family's 1533-position model. The record is from RNAcentral.
GACGAACGCUGGCGGCGUGCUUAACACAUGCAAGUCGAACGGAAAGGCCCUGCUUUUGUGGGGUGCUCGAGUGGCGAACGGGUGAGUAACACGUGAGUAACCUGCCCUUGACUUUGGGAUAACUUCAGGAAACUGGGGCUAAUACCGGAUAGGAGCUCCUGCUGCAUGGUGGGGGUUGGAAAGUUUCGGCGGUUGGGGAUGGACUCGCGGCUUAUCAGCUUGUUGGUGGGGUAGUGGCUUACCAAGGCUUUGACGGGUAGCCGGCCUGAGAGGGUGACCGGCCACAUUGGGACUGAGAUACGGCCCAGACUCCUACGGGAGGCAGCAGUGGGGAAUAUAGCACAAUGGGUGGAAGCCUGAUGCAGCAACGCCGCGUGCGGGAUGACGGCCUUCGGGUUGUAAACCGCUUUCGCCUGUGACGAAGCGUGAGUGACGGUAAUGGGUAAAGAAGCACCGGCUAACUACGU